GCUGAAAGCAUCUAAGCGCGAAGCCAACUUCAAGAUAAGAUUUCCCACCGCAAGGGUAAGACCCCAGAAAGACUAUCUGGUUGAUAGGUCGAAGGUGUAAGUGCAGCAAUGUAUUUAGCUUAUCGAUACUAAUAGGUCGAGGACUUGACCAAAUU
This 155-nucleotide ribosomal RNA is filed under the name Clostridioides difficile. Its description in RNAcentral is "partial 23S ribosomal RNA". It matches the Rfam family "Bacterial large subunit ribosomal RNA", at positions 2770 to 2925 of the family's 2925-position model. The record is from RNAcentral. Lineage: Bacteria; Bacillati; Bacillota; Clostridia; Peptostreptococcales; Peptostreptococcaceae.